Molecule: long non-coding RNA, 1640 nt
Filed under: Homo sapiens (human)
Lineage: Eukaryota; Metazoa; Chordata; Mammalia; Primates; Hominidae
Description: non-protein coding lnc-TGFBRAP1-1:12
Source: RNAcentral
GUCACUCUGAGUCGCCGCAUGCCGGGCUCCUUCUCUCGCUGCUGGUUCGGGUGUUGGGGCCUGGUCCCGCUUGCAAAAGCUCCCACGGACCAGAGAAAAGAGGAGGAUGUCAGACGUAGAAACAAAUGGCGUGUCAAGUUUCGCAGGAAGAGAGGGAAGAGUGAAGCUCCGGGAGCCAGCCACGAUUAGUCGCGCCUUCUGUGACGUCCAAUGGCAGAGGUCAAAGGGAUUCCUGGGGCAACCUCGAGGGAAAGAAUUCUGGCUCCGAGGGCCGGUGUACAGUGCUUUAAAUAUGGCAGUGGUUAUGUGUGAAAUUAUCGUGUUUUUCUGUUUAACCUGUUUCUUGUCUCUUCAUCGCCUUUCUAUAUAAUGUAAGACCAGAGGCUUUAUGUAGUGAAUUCCCUGUAACCCCGGCUGCUUGGACAGAUAGGUAUUCAAGUAUUUGUUUCUUGAAGUAAUCCUCUGAAUUAACUUGCUCACAUGUAAAAAAUAAUAACGGGCUGGGAAACGCCAGUAAUAGCCGCCAAACGUUUGUUAGACAUUUACAGUGUGCCAGGGACUGCAUUUUACGUGUAUUAUCACAUUCCUCAGAACAGCCUAAUGAGGUAUAUAUUACUAGAAUGCCUAUUUUUCAGAUGAGGAAACUGAUGCAUAGAAAGGAUAAUUUACUCAAGAGCGAGGAAGUAGCAAGCAUAAAAUCCAAGUACAUUUUUUUCUGCAUGUAUUAAUAGGUACAAUGAAGUAACUUUUUAAAUUGCUGUAGGUAUCAAUCAUAGUCUUAAUUCCCAGUAAUUCACUUACUAAGAAAUAUUUUCUGCUUCUCUUUCAUCAUUCAUGGGAGAGAUACAUAUCCCUAAAUAUUUUGCACAUUUAAAACUUAAACUUGGGUAUGGUGGCUUAUGCCUGUAAUCACGGCGUUUUGGGAGGCUCAGGUGGGAGGAUUGCUUGAGUCCAGGAGUUCCAGGCCAGCCUGGGCCACAUAGUAAGACCCCGUAUCUACAAAAAAUAAAAAAAAAAUUAACCGGGCAUGGUAGUGUCUCUGUAGUACUAGCUACUCGGGAGGCUGAGGUGGUAGGAUCACUGGCGCCCAGCAAUUCCAGCCUGCAGUUAGGAUUACCACACUGCACUUCAGCCUGAGCGGCAGAAUGGGACCAUGUCUGAAAAAAUAAAUAAAAAAUAAAACUUGCAGCCUUAAACUUCAUCUGCAAAAAUGUUUUGUGGCAGGUGACUCUGAAGCAGAACUCUUGAGAUGGAAGGAUUGUCAUCUGAGGAAAAAAAAUCAAGAUUAAGAGAGGAGGAACUAGAAUGAGAUUCACAUACCGUCUCUCCUCCAAGGGAAGGAGAGAGUGGUGAUGCCUGCCCACUCCUUCCUGGGCAGAACAUUUGUAGCAUGGAACAUUGGAGAAUUUGCAGUCUGCUGACUUUCUGAUUUAGGAGGUUGAUGGGGAGGCCUUAUAAUUUGCAUUUCUAACAAGUUCUGAGGUGAUGCUUCAAGUAUGUCCAGGCAGAAGGGCUGCCUCACAGAGAAUUCUGCCAUACCACAUGGGAAUUGAAGUCACAGACAUCUCUAACCCUCAAGCCUGAAACCAAAAGACUGAAAACCAACACUACAGUGGACAAAGAACAUCUCUGAACUUGUG